GAGUUUGAUCAUGGCUCAGAUUGAACGCUGGCGGCAUGCCUUACACAUGCAAGUCGAACGGUAACAGGUCUUCGGAUGCUGACGAGUGGCGAACGGGUGAGUAAUACAUCGGAACGUGCCCGAUCGUGGGGGAUAACGAGGCGAAAGCUUUGCUAAUACCGCAUACGAUCUACGGAUGAAAGCGGGGGAUCUUCGGACCUCGCGCGGACGGAGCGGCCGAUGGCAGAUUAGGUAGUUGGUGGGAUAAAAGCUUACCAAGCCGACGAUCUGUAGCUGGUCUGAGAGGAUGAUCAGCCACACUGGGACUGAGACACGGCCCAGACUCCUACGGGAGGCAGCAGUGGGGAAUUUUGGACAAUGGGCGAAAGCCUGAUCCAGCCAUGCCGCGUGCAGGAUGAAGGCCUUCGGGUUGUAAACUGCUUUUGUACGGAACGAAAAGCCUCUUUCUAAUAAAGAGGGGUCAUGACGGUACCGUAAGAAUAAGCACCGGCUGACUACGUGCCAGCAGCCGCGGUA
RNAcentral lists this ribosomal RNA (516 nucleotides) under uncultured bacterium. Its description in RNAcentral is "bacterial SSU rRNA". It matches the Rfam family "Bacterial small subunit ribosomal RNA", at positions 9 to 522 of the family's 1533-position model. The record is from RNAcentral.